RNAcentral lists this ribosomal RNA (789 nucleotides) under uncultured organism. RNAcentral describes it as "bacterial SSU rRNA". It matches the Rfam family "Bacterial small subunit ribosomal RNA", at positions 258 to 1063 of the family's 1533-position model. The record is from RNAcentral.
UAACGGCCCACCAAGGCGACGACGGGUAGGUGGUCUGAGAGGAUGGUCCCCACACUGGGACUGAGACACUGCCCAGACUCCUACGGGAGGCUGCAGUCGAGAAUCAUCCGCAAUGGGCGAAAGCCUGACGGUGCAAUGCCGCGUGGGGGAUGAAGGCCUUCGGGUCGUAAACCCCUGUCAGAAGGGACGAAGCAAGUGACGGUACCUUCAGAGGAAGCCACGGCUAACUACGUGCCAGCAGCCGCGGUAACACGUAGGUGGCGAGCGUUAUUCGGAUUUACUGGGCGUAAAGGGUCCGCAGGGGGUUUGCCAAGUCCGGUGUGAAAGUCCAGGGCUCAACCCUGGAACUGCGCCGGAUACUGGCGAACUGGAGUGCGCGAAGGGCAGGCGGAAUUCCUGGUGUAGCGGUGGAAUGCGUGGAUAUCAGGAAGAACACCGACGGCGAAAGCAGCCUGCUGGCGCGCCACUGACCCUCAUGGACGAAAGCGUGGGUAGCGAACAGGAUUAGAUACCCUUGGUAGUCCACGCCGUAAACGGUGCAGACCCGAUUCGGGGGGGCAGCCCCCUCCGUGUCCAAGCCAACGCGUUAAGUCUGCCGCCUGGGGACUACGGUCGCAAGUCUAAUACUCAAAGGAAUUGACGGGGGCCCGCACAACCGGUGGAGCAUGUGGCUCAAUUCGAGGCAACGCGAAGAACCUUACCCGGACUUGACAUCAAGCGACCGGCGUGGAACACGCCUUUCCCUUCGGGGACGCGAAGACAGGUGCUGCAUGGCUGUCGUCAGCUCGU